UACAGAGGGUGCAAGCGUUAAUCGGAAUUACUGGGCGUAAAGCGUGCGUAGUCGGUUAUCUAAGUCGGGUGUGAAAUCCCCGGGCUCAACCUGGGAAUUGCAUUCGAUACUGGAUAGCUAGAGUUCGGCAGAGGGAAGCGGAAUUUCGGGUGUAGCGGUGAAAUGCGUAGAUAUCCGAAGGAACAUCAGUGGCGAAAGCGGCUUCCUGGACCAGUACCGACGUUCAGGCACGAAAGCGUGGGGAGCAAACAGG
RNAcentral lists this ribosomal RNA (253 nucleotides) under uncultured bacterium. RNAcentral describes it as "partial 16S ribosomal RNA". It matches the Rfam family "Bacterial small subunit ribosomal RNA", at positions 524 to 776 of the family's 1533-position model. The record is from RNAcentral.